RNAcentral lists this non-coding RNA (39 nucleotides) under Sus scrofa (pig). The record is from RNAcentral. Lineage: Eukaryota; Metazoa; Chordata; Mammalia; Artiodactyla; Suidae. RNAcentral also lists the same sequence under 1 other name.
AACGAACGAGACUCUGGCAUGCUAACUAGUUACGCGACC